GGUUUCAGAGUUAUAUUUCGGAUUUUACAAGUUUGAUGGUGAUGAUGCUUGAUUAAGUAAGACUUGAUGUUUAUGCUAUGUAGUUGAUUAGUUGUAGUGAUUAUGGAUGAAAAUUGAUUUGAUUAUGAUGAGUGUGAGAGUUGUUCUUAGUUAGGGUUCAUGAGCUAAUUUAAGGAUUUUUAUUAAUUUGUUUUGUGAUGUGUUUACAAGCUUCCAUGGAAGGUUUUUGAUGAUGAAUUUGGGCAUGGAACCUUCGGCCAAGAGACAAUCAUCAAGACUCGAAGGAGCGACUAUCGAUAAGGCUCGAGGAAAACGGAUCGAGAUAUUGUCAAGCUUAUUUGAAGAAUUUGGAUAGCAAGUGGGAUAGAAUGAUAUUAUUUGGAAAGUCAAGCUUCCGAAGUUUUAAUUCUCGGAAGUCAUUUGCACAAGCAGUGAAAGAAGGUUUUCAUUCUAGCAGUCCGCAGUAGUCUAGAUGUUUUUGUCUAUGUAUUUGACUAGCGCAUUUUAACUCUGAUAUUUUUGUAAAAUGGGGUCACAUGUAUUUUGAUAUAUGAAAAAAAUGAUUUGAUUUGCGAAAAA
Molecule: long non-coding RNA, 579 nt
Organism: Mercurialis annua (annual mercury)
Lineage: Eukaryota; Viridiplantae; Streptophyta; Magnoliopsida; Malpighiales; Euphorbiaceae
Exons: 3
Source: RefSeq, a predicted model, not a curated record